GCAGUGGGCUUUCAGUGGUAGAAUGCAGGAGACCUGGGUUCAAUUCCCGGCCAAUGCA
This 58-nucleotide transfer RNA is filed under the name Loxodonta africana (African savanna elephant). It matches the Rfam family "tRNA". From Rfam's summary of the family: Transfer RNA (tRNA) molecules are approximately 80 nucleotides in length. Their secondary structure includes four short double-helical elements and three loops (D, anti-codon, and T loops). The record is from Rfam by way of RNAcentral. Lineage: Eukaryota; Metazoa; Chordata; Mammalia; Proboscidea; Elephantidae.